This 429-nucleotide ribosomal RNA is filed under the name Bacteroidota bacterium. Its description in RNAcentral is "Bacteroidetes bacterium partial 16S ribosomal RNA". It matches the Rfam family "Bacterial small subunit ribosomal RNA", at positions 355 to 776 of the family's 1533-position model. The record is from RNAcentral. Lineage: Bacteria; Pseudomonadati; Bacteroidota.
UAGGGAAUCUUCCGCAAUGGACGCAAGUCUGACGGAGCAACGCCACGUGAGUGAAGAAGGAUUUCGGUUCGUAAAACUCUGUUGUUAGAGAAGAACAGCGCAUAGAGUAACUGUUAUGCGUGUGACGGUAUCUAACCAGAAAGCCACGGCUAACUACGUGCCAGCAGCCGCGGUAAUACGUAGGUGGCAAGCGUUGUCCGGAUUUAUUGGGCGUAAAGCGAGCGCAGGCGGUCAAUUAAGUCUGAUGUGAAAGCCCCCGGCUCAACCGGGGAGGGUCAUUGGAAACUGGUUGACUUGAGUGCAGAAGAGGAGAGUGGAAUUCCAUGUGUAGCGGUGAAGUGCGUAGAUAUAUGGAGGAACACCAGUGGCGAAGGCGACUCUCUGGUCUGUAACUGACGCUGAGGUUCGAAAGCGUGGGUAGCAAACAGG